AUGGGCGCCGGCAUUAUUCUUCUCGCCACUCCGAGUCGUCGUCGUUGGGGCUGCUCUAACCGUAUUGGGCACCUCCGCGCUGGCAUCAUUCUCCUCGCCACCAUUGUUGCGACAGUGUCAUCAGUGCAUGUGUUGCAGGCUUUUCAGGCCGCUGGCGUGGACGGUUGGCCGCUGGAGGUUAUGAUCGGGGGUGACAACGAGCAAAAGGAGAUUGGGAAAGAGAGGGCGGAAGAGAAGACAACGAGAUCAUGA
Molecule: ribosomal RNA, 252 nt
Filed under: Triticum aestivum (bread wheat)
Lineage: Eukaryota; Viridiplantae; Streptophyta; Magnoliopsida; Poales; Poaceae
Description: partial small subunit ribosomal RNA
Source: RNAcentral